This 617-nucleotide long non-coding RNA is filed under the name Setaria viridis. RNAcentral's name for it is "long non-coding RNA (SVIR_LNC007020)". The record is from RNAcentral. Lineage: Eukaryota; Viridiplantae; Streptophyta; Magnoliopsida; Poales; Poaceae.
GGCGAUGCCUUUCAAACUCAUGGGCAGGCGUUCUUCGAAUAAACACCACGAUAGAUAGAUAUUCAAUGUAAUCAUGUGGUGUAAAUAAAUAAAGCAUUAAUGGAAUAUGUCAUUGGCUAUAUGAACCGAUGGGUUAAGAUAGAAGUUGUAAUAUGCCAAAAAUUUGAAAUAUUAAUAUGAAUGUAAAAUUUCCAAAAUUCAAAAACCUUUGUGUUUGAAUGUGUGCAAGUUUAAAAACCAAGAUAUCUUUCUCCUAAAUUCUCAUUUCAACUAUGUGUGGCUUGAUUUGGAGUUUAUGGUUUUAUUUGGAGUUCAUGAUUGAGUGAAGUUUGAGUUCAAAUUCAAAUUCAAUUCAAACCUAAACCUAAAAUGAAAAACAAAACCUUACAUUACCUUCCCUGGCCGGCCCACCUGGCCAAACUAGCCCGCCCGCGCCACCAGGUUACCAGGCCGCCUCCAGCCCAAGCAGCAGCCGGCCUAUCCGCCCUUUCUUUCUUGACCGCAGGCCACCAACUACCUUUUCCCUUCAGCCCAGCUUGCAUAGUAGCCCAGCUAGCCGGCCCAGCCAGCCCGACGCUAUGCAUCUUCCUCCUCUUGCAUGGAUGCAGUGCAUGCGC